Molecule: ribosomal RNA, 475 nt
Filed under: uncultured bacterium
Lineage: Bacteria
Description: bacterial SSU rRNA
Rfam family: Bacterial small subunit ribosomal RNA
Source: RNAcentral
ACUCCUACGGGAGGCAGCAGUGGGGAAUAUUGCACAAUGGGGGAAACCCUGAUGCAGCCAUGCCGCGUGUGUGAAGAAGGCCUUCGGGUUGUAAAGCACUUUCAGUAGGGAGGAAGGUAGUGUAGUUAACACCUGCACUAUUUGACGUUACCUACAGAAGAAGCACCGGCUAACUCCGUGCCAGCAGCCGCGGUAAUACGGAGGGUGCGAGCGUUAAUCGGAAUUACUGGGCGUAAAGCGCAUGCAGGCGGCCUGUUAAGUCAGAUGUGAAAGCCCGGGGUCUUAACCUCGGAAUUGCAUUUGAAACUGGCAGGCUAGAGUCUUGUAGAGGGGUUAGAAUUUCGAGGUGUAGCGGUGAAAUGCGUAGAGAUCUGAAGGAAUACCAGUGGCGAAGGCGGCCCCUGGACAAAGACUGACGCUCAGAUGCGAAAGCGUGGGAGCAAACGAGGAUUAGAUACCCCGUGGUAGCGACUGA